UACGUAGGGGGCAAGCGUUGUCCGGAAUCAUUGGGCGUAAAGAGCGUGUAGGCGGCCAGGUAAGUCCGCUGUGAAAACUCGAGGCUCAACUUCGAGCUGUCGGUGGAAACUUUCUGGCUAGAGUCCGGAAGAGGAGAAUGGAAUUCCUGGUGUAGCGGUGAAAUGCGCAGAUAUCAGGAAGAACACCCGUGGCGAAGGCGGUUCUCUGGGACGGUACUGACGCUGAGACGCGAAAGCGUGGGGAGCGAACAGG
This 253-nucleotide ribosomal RNA is filed under the name uncultured bacterium. Its description in RNAcentral is "partial 16S ribosomal RNA". It matches the Rfam family "Bacterial small subunit ribosomal RNA", at positions 524 to 776 of the family's 1533-position model. The record is from RNAcentral.